GCGCCUGUAGCUCAGCUUGGAUAGAGCAGUACCCUCCUAAGGUAAAGGUCGGGAGUUCAAAUCUUCCUAGGCGCG
This 75-nucleotide transfer RNA is filed under the name archaeon. RNAcentral describes it as "tRNA-Arg". It matches the Rfam family "tRNA". Rfam says of the family: Transfer RNA (tRNA) molecules are approximately 80 nucleotides in length. Their secondary structure includes four short double-helical elements and three loops (D, anti-codon, and T loops). Further hydrogen bonds mediate the characteristic L-shaped molecular structure. tRNAs have two regions of fundamental functional importance: the anti-codon, which is responsible for specific mRNA codon recognition, and the 3' end, to which the tRNAs corresponding amino acid is attached (by aminoacyl-tRNA synthetases). tRNAs cope with the degeneracy of the genetic code in two manners: having more than one tRNA (with a specific anti-codon) for a particular amino acid; and 'wobble' base-pairing, i.e. permitting non-standard base-pairing at the 3rd anti-codon position. The record is from RNAcentral.